This 426-nucleotide ribosomal RNA is filed under the name uncultured Oribacterium sp. Its description in RNAcentral is "bacterial SSU rRNA". It matches the Rfam family "Bacterial small subunit ribosomal RNA", at positions 354 to 794 of the family's 1533-position model. The record is from RNAcentral. Lineage: Bacteria; Bacillati; Bacillota; Clostridia; Lachnospirales; Lachnospiraceae.
UGGGGGGAUAUUGCACAAUGGAGGAAACUCUGAUGCAGCAACGCCGCGUGAGGGAAGAAGGUUUUCGGAUUGUAAACCUCUGUUUUUAGUGAAGAAACAAAUGACGGUAGCUAAAGAGGAAGCCCCGGCUAACUACGUGCCAGCAGCCGCGGUAAUACGUAGGGGGCAAGCGUUAUCCGGAUUUACUGGGUGUAAAGGGAGCGUAGACGGAACGGCAAGUUUGAAGUGAAAUACCUGGGCUUAACCCGGGAACUGCUUUGAAAACUGUCGAUCUAGAGUGUCGGAGAGGUAAGUGGAAUUCCUGGUGUAGUAGUGAAAUGCGUAGAUAUCAGGAAGAACACCGGAGGCGAAGGCGGCUUACUGGACGAUAACUGACGUUGAGGCUCGAAAGCGUGGGGAGCAAACAGGAUUAGAUACCCUGGUAGU